Long non-coding RNA from Cyprinus carpio carpio, 2942 nucleotides. NCBI's taxonomy places the organism in Eukaryota, Metazoa, Chordata, Actinopteri, Cypriniformes, Cyprinidae. The record is from Ensembl.
AUUUAAUAUCUCAAGUCAUUUUGCUUCUCAAGUAAAUGUAUUUUGAGAGCAAGACAAAAAUACUUUUUAAAAAGUCAUUUUUUUAAAAGGUACAAAAGCUGUCACUGGAGCGGUACCCAUUCAAAAGAUACUAAAUUGCACCAUUUACUGUAGGCAUUAACAUGCACCUUUAGGGGUAAAUAAGGUACAAAGGUGUAGCUGUUGAAAGUGUCCCACCCCAGUAAGAGCUUUUGUACCUUUUUGCAGCAGGAGCAUCCGAACACAUCCACAGGUUCAGCUGACUCUCUAUUAGUGUGGGCUUAUUUUCCCCAUCAGCAGGGAAGUUCUUCCCUCACACUCCCGUCCUUUCAGAGAAGAGUGAUUAUUUCCUGCACCUUUCUUCUGCAUCUCUCUUUUAGGCCCUGAAAACAAAUAAUUGGGGCUUCAUUGCCCACUUCAGACUUUGAAAAACACCUGGCCAAGGAUGAAAAGAUCUUUAGAAGGUAGAAGAAGAAGAGAAAGAACGGUCAGUGUUACGGAGGACACCCUAAUGUCUGUUUUCUGGGUCACGGCUACACAAAGAUUUGACAGCUUCAUCUGGGAUAAAGAUACAUGAAAACGGUUUAACAUCAUAAUAAUUUUGCUCAAGAAAUAUAAUCAUGAUUACUGUCAUUAAACAGCGCAAAUGAUGCCAUAGAAGAGCCUUUAUGCCUAAAUGGUUCCAUAAAGAACCUUUAAUAUCUGAAGAACCUUUCUGUUUCACAAAAGGUUCUUCAGAUUAUGAAAAGGCAAGAAAGAGAUGGUUCUUUAAAGAACCUUUGACUGAAUGGUUCUUUGUGGAACCAAAAAUGGUUCUGGACUCUCAUUCUGACGGCACCCAUUCACUGCAGAGCAUCCAUUGCUGAGACACUGAUGCAGGGCUGCAUUUCUACAAAUCUGAUGAAGAAACAAACUCAUCUACAUCUGGGAUGAACUGAGGGUGAGCACAUUUUCAGCAAACAUUCAUUUUUGGGGGAACCGUUCCUUUAACUCACGGUCAACCAUUUCAUAAAACAGUCUACUGUAGUGUAUUGAGAAAUGUUUACACUCAUUUGUAAUUCUCAUAGACACUUCCUGUGCCAAUGUGUAAGUAUGUCAAUUUUUUGAAACAAUGGUUGAUUAUCUACAUCAUACUAAUCAGCGCUCUUGUAGACAAAGAAUAAAUGUCACCAAGAAUUACAGAGAUGAAUCUGGUAAUUGACAAGCAGAAUGUAUGAAUAAUGAGUUAACGAACACGAGUCCAAGCAGUCAGAGGCUGGAUGAGAUGCGUGUGAGAUGCUCGUUAUCAAACUGACAUUCAGCACAGAGAGCAAAGAGACAGGUGCAAAUUAGUGAUUGAUUCGCAUUGGCCUUUUCAUCACUACAAGAGCCCCUGAUGAGCGCGAUCACAUCUCAUUGUGUGCCACACACAACGUAUCUCUGCCAGAUUGAAAAGUUAAAAAAAUAAAGGGAUACGGCUAUGAAUCACUUCACCCAACCACAGCGUUUUGUCUUUGUUUGAUGUCAAAUUAAGCUGUAAAGCAGACAAACAGAAAGACUAGAAGAGAAGAGACAAACGGUAAACAUUUCUCAAUGUCUUGAUAUUAUAGCAAAUAUAUCUUAAUAUUCUGGAUCAAAUUUUAUAUAUCAAUUCAUUACAGUUGCCUAUGUAUUAAACUUCACUUUUAACUCAAUGCACACCGCAUGUGUGACAUGAAUGAUGGCUCAAAUUAUAUGUUUUGUUAAUAACAGGUGUGUUGUUACUUUUCUAAGUGAUCAGAUUUUCACCUGGUAGAUGAUAAAACAAGAGGAAAUUCUCAUAAGUUUACAUCUGAGCAAUAUGUACAGACUGAAACAUCACAUUUAAAACACCAAAGACCACUCAGAACACCUAAGAAACUGGACUGCAACACUGAAAACACUGGCUUUGAAAACUGUCAGAUGAACACUGUAUUCAUCUUCAUCGUCUGACCUUCACUAAAGGUCAGAAAAGGCCAGGUUUGGUCCACAAUAAACACAUAUUUCCCAAAUAUGAACAAACGCUUUAUAUUUAUUUUAAUGGACAGCUAUUUAGGUCAUUUUUUUUCCAAUAUUCAGUGACCAAAAUGAGUGGGCGACAAUGUUUUGAGUCAGGGAAUGACUGUCAAUUGUUUGUUCAUCAUAUUUGAUCAUUUGUGUCCCAGUUCUCUGUUCCAGACCAGCCGUAGUGACUCAAAUCGCUCUACUUCAGGACAAGGACAUCUUGUGGUCUGAACUCCAAUCAGCUGUUCUUCUGUUUUAGAACAUGUUCCCUUGACGAGGUGCUGUAUUCCCUGAGGAGAAGAUGCAUGCACUAGUACUAACACUAAAGAGUCAUACUGUCAGCAUGCAAUGUUUAGGAAAGGUAACUCAGGAACAGACAUUUCUGUAUGUAGGAAAUGAAGCAGCAAAUCAAAUUUUGUGUAUUUUGGUUUUUAUGAAUGAAGUAAGAAAGAAAGCUUUUUGUUCAGAUGUUGUGAAUGCCUGAACUCCAACAAUAACCAACAAUAACUCCAACCAUUAAUAUGAGCUUAAUUUCCACUCAACCAAAUUGCUAAUAAAUUUCACAAUUAAUUAGAGCAAGUAACACAUUGAAUUAAAUGCGACAUUUUGAAGUAGAAAGACUGAAAUAGUAAAAUGUUCCAGCAAUCUUUGUUUUAUUUACGAUGUCAAAAAAAUAUAUAUUUUUUUUUUUUACAGUGUGGAGAUUAAAUUUGGUGAUAUAACACAUUAAGGCUGUGGUUUAUUUAUGUGUGUUUUUAAAUUAUGUAUUUAAGACUAGUUAUUAAUAAUGCAUCUCUCUCUCUCUCUUUCUCUCUUUUGUGAUGUAAAUUUAAUUCCUAAACAAUCUGUGAAUUAAAAAAUGUCCUUUAUUUCACUGAAAAAAAACACUGAUUUACUGAAAAUAUUUGAUAAUAAAUUGCUAG